Molecule: small nuclear RNA, 18 nt
Filed under: Arabidopsis thaliana (thale cress)
Lineage: Eukaryota; Viridiplantae; Streptophyta; Magnoliopsida; Brassicales; Brassicaceae
Description: snRNA_01303
Source: RNAcentral
UCCCUGUCUACUAUCCAG